RNAcentral lists this long non-coding RNA (1164 nucleotides) under Gallus gallus (chicken). RNAcentral describes it as "lncRNA (ENSGALG00010002776.1)". The record is from RNAcentral. Lineage: Eukaryota; Metazoa; Chordata; Aves; Galliformes; Phasianidae.
GAAGAUCUAAACUUCAAACUUGCUUCACAAGAGGCAGAACUGCAACUGAAAAAUCAAGAUGCUGAAGCUUUGAUCGCUAAGAUAGGAUUUCAGACUGAGAAAGUGAGCCAAGAAAAGGCCAUUGUCAAAGCAGAGGAGCAAAAGCCAGAGAGAUUCACAGAGGAAGAUGCAUGUACCAUUGCCUUUUAAGACGGGAACACUCCCAGAAGAAGAAAUCAAACAGAGCAGGUUGCAGAAAAGUGAGCUUGUCCUACAUUUGAUUCGAGUGUCAACACACAGUUAAUCUUACAGAACUGAAAGCCUUCGCCAACACACCAGUAACUGCAACCAAUGGUGUACGAUGGAGUCGAGAUGUUGUGCAUCGGUCCAGGAGAAUACUAAAUUAGGAACAGCUAAAGAGAAUCUACAUGCAAUCAAGAAGAAGCUUACUUGGUUUUGGUGAGAAUACAUGAAACUGUUCCUAAGAAAUGGCUGAAUAUCCUGAAAGUCAUCUGGAUGUGUUACCCAAAUAGAUUAGUAAACCAAAAUGAGAGUUGGUACAAAUAAUUGGUUAUGAUUUUUACUACAUAUAUAUGCUGAGUGUUUAUAGGUAAGCUAUUGGACUAUCGGAAUAACUACUGCAAAGGACUGUGGCACCUCCAGCUCAUCUGUGCUCAUGCUUGUCAUUAAAGUAUCACCAGAUCUCCUCUGAUUUUUUUGAAAGGCCUCCAAACACAUACACAUGCGCACGUGCAUUACAAGUGGAAAAUUUGACUAUGCACUUUUACUGACAAAAAUCUUUUUUAUUAAAGACUGAACAGAAGAUUAUGUUUACCAGCAAGUACCCAUCGUACAUUUCUGAGGGAUUAUUUGUGGAUGCUUGUUAAUUAUUCAUUUAAUGGAGUAACUGCAACACAAAGCGCUCUUGAAACAAACAAAGACACCUUUGGUAUCUUGGGAGAUGGUGGGUGGAAAGAGUUCCUCUGCUGCGAGCUAAUUACUCUGACUUAUCAAACAUGACUUUAAAUGAUUCAAAAGAUGUGUCAUUAACUGAGUUUAGAAGGCAAUGACUCGGCUCUUUCUGUUGUGAGUAUUUAGACCUGGAAUCUCACAAUUGAAGUGAUCAAGCAAUAAAUGAAGGCUGCUUGAUUUCAUAAGGUGGGCAUUGUUCUCUCUCUUUUCUCU